CAGUCGCCGCGGUAAUACGUAGGUGGCAAGCGUUGUCCGGAAUUAUUGGGCGUAAAGGGCUCGCAGGCGGUCUCUUAAGUCUGAUGUGAAAGCCCCCGGCUCAACCGGGGAGGGUCAUUGGAAACUGGGAAACUUGAGUGCAGAAGAGGAGAGUGGAAUUCCACGUGUAGCGGUGAAAUGCGUAGAGAUGUGGAGGAACACCAGUGGCGAAGGCGACUCUCUGGUCUGUAACUGACGCUGGGGAGCGAAAGCGUGGGGAGCGAACAGGAUUAGAUACCCCCGUAGUCCCUGUCUCUUAUAC
This 301-nucleotide ribosomal RNA is filed under the name uncultured bacterium. Its description in RNAcentral is "partial 16S ribosomal RNA". It matches the Rfam family "Bacterial small subunit ribosomal RNA", at positions 509 to 807 of the family's 1533-position model. The record is from RNAcentral.